This is a long non-coding RNA of Bombyx mori (domestic silkworm), 788 nucleotides long. RefSeq lists it as uncharacterized. The record is from RefSeq and is a predicted model, not a curated record. The transcript has 2 exons. NCBI's taxonomy places the organism in Eukaryota, Metazoa, Arthropoda, Insecta, Lepidoptera, Bombycidae.
AGUUGAUUUUUGACAGCCACCGAAGGUGGUUGCAUUGCAGAAUCACGCGGUUUAUUGUCUAAAAACAAUUGCAUAGACGCUUCCACGGUCCGGUGGUCACGGCCUCCGAUUUUUUAAGAUUCAUGGCUGUUUUAAGUGAAAUCUUUCAACUUACCUACUUCAGAGCGACCUUACGGAACUUCGUUCUCUCAUAGUUCUCAACGACGAUUAAAUCAUAGGGUUUCCGGGGCCGGGUGGGGCUUACAAAAAGCUUGAUUCAUUAAAACAGUUCAAGGAUGUUCGAGUUCAUUGUAGAACUUGUCGAAUGACGUCAGUAGUUGUAGUAGGGAGCUUUCCAGGGAUAUAAACAGUUUUGAUAAGUUCUGUGUUAAAAUAUAUUGUUGUACAUCGUUCAAGUUAUAAUUUAUAGAAUAGUUUGUAAAUGUUAUUAUUUGUCAAAAUUGUACAUAUAUUAUUGCAUUUAGAAACACUAUAAAAAUUAAUAAUUAACAAACACUAAGAAAAAGAUUAACAAAAUUUAUUUUAAUUGUUUGGGACGUGAAUGGGUUUUUACGAUAUCACGACAUUAUUAUAAUUCAGGAAUCAGCAUUUCGUUUUCCAUUACAUUAAGUCUGCUUUACACCUUGUUGGAGUUUGAAUAUUAAAGUAAUGGCAGGCAACACUUGACACAUUGUAUAAUCUAUGCUUCUCAUCUAGACACGGACAGUGCAACAUCUUAGGGCUUUAUAAAAAUAAAAUAUUGUAAUGGUGUAAUAGUAUACAAAAAUAUUUGCAAUAUUAACCAUGAA